Long non-coding RNA from Podarcis raffonei (Aeolian wall lizard), 2364 nucleotides. RefSeq lists it as uncharacterized. The record is from RefSeq and is a predicted model, not a curated record. NCBI's taxonomy places the organism in Eukaryota, Metazoa, Chordata, Lepidosauria, Squamata, Lacertidae. The transcript is spliced from 4 exons.
UGUGAAAUCAGAGUGCUGAUCUCUUCAGCUGAGGGGUUUGCAGCACAAAAUCCCUUCACUAGGCCAAGCAUGUGCUUAAACUCAUUUUUCCCAGGCACAGCCUCCCAAGUCCUGCUGGUGGAGGUCCGUUAGCACAGCAUUCUGGGUAGGUGAGAGGGCUGGUUGUUUUCUCUCUGUGUUUUGCAACUGAAAUAAGAAGACUUCUACCUCAGGGCUGUCAACCUGGCACCUGCUGCUCAUGUUGGUUUAAUGAGGAAAAGAAAGAAAGGCACAGAGUCAGGCCCAGAAAGCCUCAGCAGCACCUGCAGGCCAUGUGAAUGAAUUGGGAGAAACAGUUUCAAGUUUGGGGAAGAAGCCAUUAGGAGUAGUAGGGCCUGCAUAAUUUCCUCAGAAGCUGGAUGGUGCUGCUGGAAGUGAAAGACAGACAAUGGUAUUCAAGGAGAAUAAGAACUGAUUGUCCCCAGCUCCCAAGCUAUCUCAGCAGCCUGAUUUAGGAGGAGGAUCUGACUGCUUCCAGAUGGCAACCUUUUCGGGUGUCAAACAUGCUGACAUAAGAGAGGCUAGAACUGGUAUUGCUGCCUGUUACUCCUUGAAAAUAAAUGCUAAGUAAGUGGUCCAUAUUCAUAAGCAGCAUAAUGUUAGAAGAGCAAACACACAAUAUCAUGGCUGUUUUGUGAAUACAAAAAUUGGGAACCUGCAGUUUUUUCUGGUCACAGAAGGAAAAAAAGUGAUCUCUUCUGGCAUCAUGGUUACAUGAGCAGACCACUCAUGUGAAUGGUAAGUUUGUGGGGAGCCAGCCACUUGUAGUGCCGUCUGCACCAGAUCUCAAAAGUAACCUCACAAUGACAGAUCUCACAGUGACAUGAAAGUUACUGUGCUGGUCCAUAUUAAUCCAAAGGCUACCAAGAAACAGGAUCACUGUGGUUGGCCAAAUCCAAAACUGCAACUAUGGCAUGGUGGCAUCUCCCUCACCAUGUUUCCAGGCUGAGCCACUCAUGAAAGACAUGGUCAUACAGACAAGCCUUGAAAGUGUUGCUUUUUGCUUUUCUAACACUACCUGGUGCUAGGGAUACAGUUCACUGGGGCCAGUUCUGCAGGACAGAUAAACAAUGCUUUUUCUUUUAUGACUCUCUCGGUGGAAGAGCAGAAGGGGCCAAAAUUCACUGGUGGGGGCAAAGGCCCCUGCCUCUGCUGUGUGCUGGCAGCACCCCAAAGAAAAUUAGGAGGUUGUUCUAAGACUGCAGCAAUCGAAGGGCCCUCAGUUGAGUUAUGUGACCCUGCAAUGUUGGCAUGCAAGUUUUAAAAUCAAUUUACUCUACAUGGUUAAAUUUCUAAAGACAUUUUGAUAAUUUGAUAGCUCUACCAGAUUGGUUGAAAGAAAGCCUAUAAAUGUAAGAAAUAAAUGAUAAGUAUGAGGAAAUCCCGGUUUUGGCUCUUUCAUUAUUCUUUGAAGAAUAUAUAUAUCAGUCAUCUAACAACUAAGGGGAUAGGGUUUCACUUCUCCCAGUGUACGUCAGGGACAGGGAGACCUUGCAGGUUUCCUGUGCAAACCUUGGGGUGAAUGGCUUCCCCUUUGUUAAGCAGAGGUUAAAAUCAAGGGUGAAUGCAGCAUCCCGGCCUUCUGAACACUACAACAAGGAACUGGGAGUUGGUGGCACAUCUUGAAAUGAAAAAAUCUUCAAGUAGACCAACAGCCUCGAGGCAUUUCUGCAAAGUCACAGCAGAGGCUCCAAUCACAUUUCAGAUUUGGCAUGAAAGCCCCAGGCCCUUUUCAAAGUCAAUUGAACAACAUCCAAUAGAUGGAGGGGCGGUACAGCUUUGCAUUGAGAGGUGAGAGAGAGGCUGUGCUGCAGUUUGCCCCUUCUCAAUUAAAAAUGUAGGUAGGUGUGUGUGCAGCAGCAGAAAACACAACCUCCAAAGCAUUUCAUUAAAAAAGGUUAGAACAUUGCUGUUGGGGAAGGAAAGGGUUAAUUUUGUUCUCCUUCAAAAAAGAGAAAGAGGAAAGAACAAAAGUGGGGGGAGAGGCUAGAAUGCUAGAGAAUAUCACCUUCUUCCUUAACAUAAACAUAAUGGUAUUUUAGGGCAUUAAAUUUGUCUGCGUGGUGCUGAUUAUGCCCACCCUGCUCAGGGAUGGCAACAGGGAUCUUGAACCAUGCUACAUAUGUUGAGGCCUGCACAUAUGACAUCAUUGACUUGUGACAGACGCCUCUGCAAAGUGCAGUAGACCUCAAGAUCCUCAUCUCUACACCAAAUGUUGCCAGCUAUGUACCCAGAGUCAAUAAACCUGCCUUCUCCUGCACCAGGUCUUUACCCAGCACUGGGGGAUUUUGGGGCUCUGGGCCAUCCCAGAAAUCUCACCUGUCC